AUUGAACGCUGGCGGUAGGCCUAACACAUGCAAGUCGAACGAGUGGCGGACGGGUGAGUAAUGUCUGGGAAACUGCCUGAUGGAGGGGGAUAACUACUGGAAACGGUAGCUAAUACCGCAUACCAUCAGAUGUGCCCCGAUGGGAUUAGCUUGUUGGAGGGGUAACGGCUCACCAAGGCGACGAUCCCUAGCUGGUCUGAGAGGAUGACCAUCCAGACUGGAAUGGAACCGAGGUCCAGAAUCCUACGAGAGGAAGCAGUGGGGAAUAUUGCACAAUAGGCGCAAGCCUGAUGCAGCCAUGCCGCAUGUAUGAAGAAGGCCUUCGGGUUGUAAAGUACUUUCAGCGGGGAGGCGUUACCCGAAGAAAAAGCACCGGCUAACUCCGUGCCAGCAGCCGCGUUAAUAC
Molecule: ribosomal RNA, 406 nt
Filed under: uncultured bacterium
Lineage: Bacteria
Description: partial 16S ribosomal RNA
Rfam family: Bacterial small subunit ribosomal RNA
Source: RNAcentral